This 247-nucleotide ribosomal RNA is filed under the name uncultured bacterium. Its description in RNAcentral is "partial 16S ribosomal RNA". It matches the Rfam family "Bacterial small subunit ribosomal RNA", at positions 15 to 252 of the family's 1533-position model. The record is from RNAcentral.
GAUCCUGGCUCAGGAUGAACGCUAGCUACAGGCUUAACACAUGCAAGUCGAGGGGCAGCAUUUCAGUUUGCUUGCAAACUGGAGGUGGCGACCGGCGCACGGGUGAGUAACACGUAUCCAACCUGCCGAUAACUCGGGGAUAGCCUUUCGAAAGAAAGAUUAAUACCCGAUGGUAUAAUCAGACCGCAUGGUCUUGUUAUUAAAGAAUUUCGGUUAUCGAUGGGGAUGCGUUCCGUUAGGCAGUUGG